Long non-coding RNA from Peromyscus californicus insignis, 7678 nucleotides. RefSeq lists it as uncharacterized. The record is from RefSeq and is a predicted model, not a curated record. The transcript has 3 exons. Lineage: Eukaryota; Metazoa; Chordata; Mammalia; Rodentia; Cricetidae.
CGAAAUUUCCGUGAGGGAGCUGGAAGAGUCAGGACUGGGAAGAUAUGGUGUGUUCAACAAAAGACACUGAAAUCGCGUUGCUCCUGCUACCAAAGAAAACAAGGCUGCUUUCUCUCCGCCUCGCAAAAAAAGCCCCCGCACUUUUUAAAGACAAAAAGCACCCGAAGGGUGGGCUGAGCCAUAAACUGAAGUCCCGCCGCGUCACAGCUCCCGGUUAGGUAGGUAGGUGUGUGUGUGUGUGUGUGUGUGUUUCACGAGGGAAAUGUCCCUUCAAACCGCGCAUCUCAAGGCUUUUCGGAAUAUCUUGAAACUGUUUAUGAGGAGGUGAACUCGGAGUUUCUUCCACGCCCCCUUCUCGGGCUUUCGUUAAAAGAUGUAGUGACACCAGCUAGGAAGCUGGGUGCCACUGUUUAGUCACUCAAGACCCACUGGGCCGAAGGGAGGAAGCCACCAAUCCUCCUGACCCUAAAUACCUACAGUUCUGCUGGGAUGCCGGCCUUCCUCUGUCCCCUUAUCCUUCCUCCAAGACUCCCUGCAAAGGAACGUGCCUUCGCUUCACCUGUGGCCGCAGAUGGAGAAAUUUUCAACCAUGUCUAUCUUUGACCACAAAAUUCAAAAGAGCUCACUCCUAGGGCUUUGGCAAAAAACAACCAUGUUGGAAACAAAAGAAUAUUUUACAACAAUAGUCCUCGCAAAUUAAACCAGGCUGGGCCCAUCUUCGAGGUGGUCCCCCCUUCUUCCUCUCCUUUCUCCUUUGUGAUGGGGAGGGUGAGAAUGAAAGCUUGUCUUUAGUUUAAAAGCAUACGAACAGUAGUAAUCAAUUGAACGGAUGUUAGCGACCUUUUCGGUUAUAUUAUCUUUGCGCUCAUGAAGGUGGUACCCCGGUGAGCCAAGGAGAAAUACCUUUCUACCGACUGAGAGACUCAGGACUGAGUUGAUCUCUGAUUUUCUCCUGCUCCAACUCCAGACUCUUGGGCUCAGCGGGGUAUUAAAAACAGAGAGCCUGGAAAUCCGCUCAGUCCUGGCACAUCGAGUUUUGAGGCAGGGAAGAGCCUUCAGCACCGAGGACAGCGCCACUCGUUAAGGGCUUUGCUGGGUAUUCACUGCAAGUGCUCGGCCAACCCCCUGCCUCUGCCCCAGGCUGGGCCCCAUCUUCUUCCCUCUUGGAAGUUACUGUUGUUUAUUUUGCCUGGCAGCGGAUUGUGCGGUGGAGCGUUUCGCCCACUCCUUUCUUCUCCGCCUAAGAAUUUGGACGGAUGGUAGCUGUCCUUGUCCUUUGGCUUUUCAGAAACAAUAUUUGGACUAUUUUUAUUUGUGGUUUUCAUUCUUUUUAUCUUCAUACUCCCAGGGAGUGAUGCUUAGAAGAAUGGGGAUGAAAAAAAAAAAAGAAAAGACUUCCUCUCCAGGGACUUGAACCGGUGGUGAGCGGUGGCCUGGAAGGGUGUGGUGUCCGGCCAGCUGUUUCGUUCGUAUUUUGAUCUACGAGUUAGCGCUUUGAAGAAAUGGGAAAGCAACGCUCUAAGGCUGCAAAGGGCAGGGAAUGCCUUCGGCUGCGUUCUUUCUCCCUCCUCCGGGCGUUGGGGGUGGCCGGCAGGCUACUCACCUAUUCUGUCUACCAAGGACGACGUCCCCUAGGUCAACAGUGACAGACACUGACAUUCUCCGCCCACAGUGCCCUUUCCCCGGGACAUUUAAAGAUACUCAAAACGCGUUUGGGGCCCUGGCUUUUUUCCAGAAAGGAGACAAAAAAUCAGGUGGGAGGAGCGUUGGGAAAGAGGCUCCCCAACCCGCUUCCGGGGAGUCCCCCGCCCCCACCGCCCCUCUUUUGCUUAAAAUAUUUUCUGUCAAGGUGAGUAGAUAAGACGUCAACUGACUUUUGACGCACGUUGCAUUAUUAGCUUCCAAGAACGGCAGUUUAGAGCCGUGAUUUGUGGUUCAUUUUAGCUGGGUCAUAAAGGUCUAUUUAAAGUAUUAAAUUAUGAUUUUAACAAAAGGGUGGAAAAGGUGGAGUGGAAGUAGUCGCGUUUAAACGUGUCUCCCAGGAGAACGAGGGAGGCGGUUUUAAGUCAGACCGCAGGUCCCUUCGCUCUGUGUCCAUACUUUCAAGAUAGAUCCCUGACUCUCUCUGGACUUUCUCCGGAGGGCCCUAACGCACACCCCAUCCUAACAGAGAACUGCACUGCUUCCUGGCAGGCUGUGGAAGGGUUAAAAGGGGGCGGGGAGGAAGAGCUCCAGCUGGGCCGAGUCUAGAAAUUGCAGUGAUUUCUUGUGGAGAGCUGGAGUCUUCAGAUAAUUGUCAUGUGGCUGUUCCCCUUUGAUAGUCCGGGGCUGCUGAAAACACUCCGGCACAAACCGAGCAAGCAAGCCGCGCUGGGAGAUUUGUGCUCGUGUGAAUCCAGAAACGCCCAGUUCUCGCCACCCCGAGCACGAGCACAGUGACCAGCAGGGGGCGGUAGAUGACAAUUCCUGAGGAGAACAACGGCCCCCAAACACAGCUGGUCUUCAAGGAAGCCUGCCCGCAGGUUCCAUUUCGCGUAUGCCUAUGCCUUUAUUUUAUUUUAUUAUUUUUUUUUACAAAGCAGAACCUUUUUAAACGCUGAGAAAUGCCCCCGAUGUGACCUAAAACACCCAGGCUCGUGUGUCCCUUUGAUGAAAGGGGACAGGCAGCAUGGCAUCCGUUUCUUUUCCUUGCCGCUGUAUCCCAAAGGUGCCUUAAGGAAUCCUUUGGUUGUAAGCUAGAAACAGCUUUGCUGCAAGGCAGAUAGCACAGAAAUCACAGACCUGGAUCCAGAUGUGCCAGAGGGAAUUUCAUCGCAUAACUGAAUUAGUGAACGAGUACGACUAAGUCAUAUUUUUAUCCAUUUCUUUUUCGGUUUAAAAUACCAGGUAUUUAAUUUCUAUUUCCGGACUUAUGUGUCUGGUACUGUUUGUAAGAAGGUUCCGGAGUGUUCUGAUUUGGUCAGGGAGGAUCUGGUUACUUAAUCUUGUGGAGUCAGAUUUGGCUCCUUCCCAGGCAUUGACCAGUACUCAGGGAAGAAAACUGGGACCUUAAUGGCGGGAUUCAUUCCAACUCCCAAAGCUGUCAGUGGUGUUAUUUGUUUUUUUACUCUUUUGGGGGGCUGCCACCUAGCUUCCUCCCAAAACAAAUCACGCACAGAGGCUUAUUAAUUAUCAAUGCCCAGUCUUAGCUUGUACUGUUUCUAGCCAGGUUUUAUUAACUUAAACUGUCCUGUCUGUCUUUGGCCUUGGGACUUUUACCUUUCUCUAUUCCUGUACACCUUUUCUUUCCUUCUUACUCUGUGUCUGGCUGUAUAGGUGAGUGGCUGGCCUCUUGCUCUUCUUCUCCCAGAUUUCUCCUUCUAUUUAUUCUCUCUGUCUGCCAGCCCCGCCUAUCCUUUCUCCUGCCUUGCUAUUGGCCGUUCAGUUCUUUAUUAGACCAUCAGGUGUUUUAGACAGGCACAGUAACACAGCUUCACAGAGUUAAACAAAUGCAACGUAAACAAAAGUAACAUACCUUAAAUAAUAUUCUACAGCACGUCAGUUCAUUUUUAAAUUACUUUCAUUUGACGUGCAUUGAUGUUUUGUCUUGUGUAUGCCUGUGUAAGGGUGCUGGGUUCCUUGGAACUGGAGUUAAACAGUUGUGAGCUGCCAUGUGGGUGCUGGGAAUUGAACCCCGGUCCCUCUGGAAGAGCAGUCAGUGCGCUUAACCACUGAGCUAUCUCUCCAGCCCCUGUCAGUCCAUUUUAUGUGAAGGGAUUAUAUUGAACAGUUCAUUGGGCUUGCGGCAAUCAUGCUGUAGGCUUCCCUCACAUAGUGAGGGUAGAUCCAUCAUAGUUCCAGGUGGGGGGCCAAAGUCCUGCUUUCUUUGAUCGGGUGAGCCAGGGAUCCUUUAGAUCCAUUUAAGCAUCUUUUCCCCCUCAAGACAGGGUUUCUCUGUGUAUCCCUGGUUAUCCCUGAAUUCACUCUGUACACCAGGCUGGCCUCAAACUCACAGAGAUCCUCCUGCCUCUGCCUCCUGAGUGCUGUGAUUAAAGGCGUGCGCUGCCACCGUUCUGCUGAACUGAAUUUUUUUUUAACAGCUCGUAAAUGUAAGGAUUAAAUGGGAAUCAUUAUCUUCUCACUGGGGUUAUAGACUUAUUUCAACUCUACAGAUAAGUCCCAGAGUGGGAGGAGCCUCCAAAGUUCUUCGCCUCUCUGCCCUCUCCUCCAUGUUGAGUUUGGCCAUGUGAUUUGUUUUGGACGUUGGUAUGAAACUGAUUUUCAAACUCAUGAGUUUUGGGGUGAUGUGCUAUGCAUCAGUAUCAUGGCUACAGCAGAUUGCUAUUGUCUUUUAUAUCAAGAAGGUUAAGGGGAGCCAUGAUGGAAUUCAGGGAAUUUUGGCAUCUCUUGAGACAGGAAGAAGACUCAAGCCUCCCUGAGAGUGUUGGCUGGAGGUCAAUUGUUAUUGAAGUUCCUCGAAGAAAAUGUUAAUUUUAUGGCAAAUCUUUGUCAACACAACUUAACAUUUUUGCAUUGUAAAAUGACUAAAGCUAGGCUGCCCAUGUUCCAGGGGAUGACCCUACACCCUGGCACAUACGAAGUGGAUUCAGUGGAUUUAAAAGAGUACAGGUGUUUAGGAAGGAAAAGUGAUUCUUGGGGGUACUGGAGGAGUCGGAGGGAAGAGAAUGGGGAGGUAGAUUUAAUCAAAAUGUAUUCUAUUCAUGGAUGUAAUUCUUAAACUAAACACCAUGACUGAAGCUGCCAGGCUGGAGCAGUGAGGCUACCUACGGAGAGUUGUGGGUCCCUUCCCCCUCCAUCAGAGGGCAGCUGGAGCAGAAGCAGUGUCCAAGGAGGUUGUACAGAACCUUCUGUUCACUCCACAGUUCCCAAGUCCAGCAGGGCUAUGAAGGAUUUUGUUGCCGCUGCCCUUGGAGAACAGGGCAACAGCAACCCCUGUCAUCUUCAUGGUAAGGGGAGGAGUCACUUGGGAGAGUCUCCAAAACCUCGUGGUGACCGUCCCCACCUCUGCUCACACUGCUCAAGCCUGAGCAGAGAAACUGAUGUCCUGCUUCCCCAUCCCUGCCGACGAUUUUGAAUGACUGAAGGAGACUGUGAAGCCAGUAGCAGAUAAGUCAGGAGACUUCAUCUCACUUGCGGGAAGGACCGAAGACUUCUUGGAAGCCGCCAAACUUCGGGAGUCUCUGCUUCAGUCGCAGCAGUUUCGGAUGCCCUGAAAGGACCCCAGGCGUCUUCACUUUCACCACAACAACUUCUGAUGAUCCUCAGGCCGUUCUGCCCACGGUGACAACAGGGUGUCCCCGUGAGGUCCUCAAUCUAGGUAGGGAGGAACACCUCCUUUACCCACGCCAGCUGGGGUGGGUGGGUUGAGAAUGUCUGCUCCAGACUGCAUGGCUAAGCAGAACGGUCGUGGUUAGUAGAAGUUAUACAAGUAGCCCUCUCUCAUUCUUCUCUGAGUAGGUGGGAGGUAUGAGGCAGUCAUCUGGGCCUCAUCCAGUGCAUUGUUUACCCUGUGUAGCCUAGACUCAACACACCGCACCACCGCCUUGGUGUUUUUCACUGUCUAGUCUUUAUCUCAGGUGGGUCAUUGUCUUAGUUAGGGUUUCUAUUGCUGUGAAGAGACACCAUGACCAUGGCAACUCUUAUAAAGGAAAAACAUUCAAUUGGGGUGGCUUACAGUUUCAGAGGUUUAGUCCAUUAUCAUCAUGGUGCAACAUGGUGGCAUGCAGGCAGACAUGGUGCUGGAGCAGGAGCUGUGUCCUACGUCUUGGCACCCCCCACAGGCAACAGGAAGUGGUCUGUGUCACUGGACGUAGCUGGAGCAUAGGAGACCUUAAAGCCCGCCCCCACUGUAACACACUUCCUCCAACAAGGCCACACCUCCUGAUAGAGCCGCUCCCUAUGAGCUAGUGGGGGCUAAUGACAUUCAAACUACCAUUGUCAGAUUGGAGCUGGUAACUGGAGGAAUGGAUGGACAACUCUUAGGCACUCCUCCCCCAGCACAGCUCCAGGCACUGCGAAGUGGAUGGGAGUUAAAGCCCCAGAGAGUGGUCCACAGCAGAGACUGUGGAGGGAGGGCUGACGCUGGGGAGAGUCGGGCCAGCGGAUAUUAGAAGCACUGCACAGUGCUGCGAAGAUGACAGAGCUGUAACUGCAGAUGGCAAAGGGCUGGGAGGAGCCAAGCCCACAAGACCCCGGCAGCUGACUUCUGCAAGGCUAGCUGUACGGAGCUACAUAGCACUGAGAGCAGCGGGUCCCAACAUCCCUAGCCCAGAGAUGUCACACCAGCAGCUGGGUGCUGGGCCAUCGGCACUUAAAGCCCAGAGCCAAAGAGUUCUAGAUCCCAACACCAGAAGCUAGAGACACCACGCUGAGGAGAGUGUUUCUUUGUAGCUUCCAUCAGAACGGAGCAAAAGAUCCCUCAGCUGAGCCGGGCGGUGGUGGUGCACACCUUUAAUCCCAGCACGUAGGAGGCAGAGCCAGGCGGAUCUCUGUGAGUUCGAGGACAGCCUGCUCUACAGAGCGAGAUCCAGGACAGGCACCAAAACUACACAGAGAAACCCUGUCUCGAAACAACAACAACAAGAACAAGAUCCCUCAGCUGAUUGGUAACAGAGUCCCAGGAUUGCUUACUGUUAGCCUGAUGGAGAAAAAGGGGAAUGAAGAAUCUGGACAGAAGUGGUGUGAAAAGGUAAUGACCAAGAACAUUUUGAACUUGAUGAAACUAUCAAGUACAGAUCUAAGAAACUCGGCAAAGUGCCCAUUGCUUAAACACAAAGAAAACACCAACUAUUUUGUGUAAUUCUAACCACCGAACCCCAGAUAGAAAGAUAAGGUAGACCAGAUAUCUCCUGAUUCAAAGCUUCCAGGGUUCUCCACCUACCUCAGAGCAAACCAAGUUCCUUCAGCUGGGGAAAGGUCUGUGUCGCCCACCCAGCCCUGUGCCCAGGUCGUGACUCUAGCCUCAGAUGCUAGCAGCUGCCUUUGCCCAGCCUGAGCCACCCAGGUCUCUGGUGGCCGCCUUCAGGCCCCUCCCCUCUCCACACAGCUGUACUUCACCCUGCUCUGUACCUCAUUCCUCUCGAUGCUCACAGGCUGGCUUCCUACAGUUCAGUUCUGUCCUCAAGCUCCGAGGGAGGCCUCCCAGGCCAUGCGAUGGAAACGUCUGACCACCUAGGACCUUCCCUUCCUCUUCCCUACUCUGGUUUCUCCAUAGCGCCUACCAUUCAUGACACAACAUUUACUUAGUUUACUUUCUGUCCGACAUCAGACCUGACUGUGGGAUUGCUGUCAGCGGCCUGCUGAUUUUCCAGGAUCUCACACAGCACCUGGCACCCAAGCAGGGUUGAACAUUUGUGGAAUAAACCCAUGUUCAGUUAGUGUUGACUCCCAUACCCCCUGACUCUUCUGAAAUCAGCAGCAUAAAGUGACUGACUGCCUCCUAUGUCAUGAUGAUUCUGUUUCCCAGGACAGUGACCAGUCUAUUAAUCUACUUUGAUUUAGUACACAAAGUAGUACCCUAGGAGUCCCAGUGAGUCCACAGAUAACUGAACUCAUUUUUCCUAAGGGAUCCCUGAGACCUUAGCAGAGCAUUCACUUGACGGGGAUAGUCAAGCCGUCUUCGUAUUAUGGGAUCUGUUUCUAGAAACAAAGGGACGGCUGGAGGAGGUGAGUGUUCUGU